CCCAAGAUUCAGAGGCAGGAUAGACAGAUCUUUGGCAGGUGCUGAGUUCUUUGAAGCAAAUGAAGCACCACACUUCCCUUUGAUGGCUGGGAGGACAAAAGUCGGAGGGAGAUGCUUUCAUCAGCAAAGGAGAAGCUAUUGUCACUCUCCUGAAAUUGGAUGCCAUGUCCUGGAGCCAACAGAAAGUUGGUGUUAAGAAAGUGCCUCCAGGCCAGGUGCAGUGGCUCACGCCUAUAAUCCAGCAAUUUGGGAGACUGAGG
Molecule: long non-coding RNA, 260 nt
Filed under: Callithrix jacchus (white-tufted-ear marmoset)
Lineage: Eukaryota; Metazoa; Chordata; Mammalia; Primates; Cebidae
Description: lncRNA (ENSCJAG00000076448.1)
Source: RNAcentral